Molecule: signal recognition particle RNA, 252 nt
Filed under: Megaselia scalaris
Lineage: Eukaryota; Metazoa; Arthropoda; Insecta; Diptera; Phoridae
Description: Metazoan signal recognition particle RNA
Rfam family: Metazoan signal recognition particle RNA
About the family: The signal recognition particle (SRP) is a universally conserved ribonucleoprotein. It is involved in the co-translational targeting of proteins to membranes.
Source: Rfam by way of RNAcentral
GUUGUGUGGAUGAUAUGAGGAUGGGAGUCCUGUGCAGUGAACAGAUCAUGUUGACGGAACGUCCGCAUUAAGCUUACCAUAAACAUGGGCACAACGGAGGAGUCCGAUGUGUUCAGGUUGUCUAAGGAGAGAUGUAUUGGGCCAGGGGUGAAAACCAGCAGCCAAGAGUCUCCGUGGUAAGCAGUAAUGGGAUAGCGUACCGGAGUGAAAUGCCAUUGUCAGCCUAUCCAAUAAGGUCAGACGGCAAUCUUU